Molecule: long non-coding RNA, 280 nt
Filed under: Elaeis guineensis (African oil palm)
Lineage: Eukaryota; Viridiplantae; Streptophyta; Magnoliopsida; Arecales; Arecaceae
Description: long non-coding RNA (EGUI_LNC058990)
Source: RNAcentral
GGAUCUAAAAUAUCUUCUCCUUAUAAAUCUAUGCUCCAAAAAUCAGAUCUCUAUCUGAUAUGGAAGUGCUUCAGAACUCCUUCUGAAGUUGGAGCAGUAGCCUUUCGAAGAUGUCCUGCAGCCUUCCUGUUCCAGGCAUCACCAUGCCUUUUCCUUGCACCAGAUGAAUAUCCAACUCCUUGGACAUGAAGAGGGGAGAUAGGAGAGCAGGGAGAAUGUGGAGAAGAAGGGAGGGGGUGACAGCUAUGAUGGUUUUUCAUAAAAAUAUAAAACCCUAGGC